Molecule: ribosomal RNA, 433 nt
Filed under: uncultured bacterium
Lineage: Bacteria
Description: partial 16S ribosomal RNA
Rfam family: Bacterial small subunit ribosomal RNA
Source: RNAcentral
AACGAACGCUGGCGGCAUGCCUAACACAUGCAAGUCGAACGAGAACGUCGGGUCUAGUGGCGCACGGGUGCGUAACGCGAGGGAACCUUCCCUUAGGGUCGGAAUAACUCCCAGAAAGGGGUGAUAAUACGGGAUAAUGUCUAAGGCCCAAAGAUGUAUCGACUCUGUAUGGGCCUGCGUUGGAUUAGCUAGUUGGUAGGGUAAAAGCCUACCAAGGCGACGAUCCAUAGCUGGUCUGAGAGGAUGACCCGCCACACUGGGACUGACACACGGCCCAGACGCCUACGGGUGGCAGCAGGGGUGAAUAUUGGACGAUGCGCGAGAGCCUGAUCCAGCAAUGUCGCGUGAGUGAUGAAGUCCUUAGGGUUGUAAAGCUCUGUUAACCGGGAUGAUAAUGACAGUACCGGGAGAAUAAGCGCCGGCUAACUCCGUG